RNAcentral lists this ribosomal RNA (195 nucleotides) under uncultured eukaryote. RNAcentral describes it as "partial 18S ribosomal RNA". It matches the Rfam family "Eukaryotic small subunit ribosomal RNA", at positions 1 to 191 of the family's 1831-position model. The record is from RNAcentral.
CCAAACCUGGUUGAUCCUGCCAGUAGUCAUAUGCUUGUCUCAAAGAUUAAGCCAUGCAUGUCUAAGUAUAAACAACUUUAUACUGUGAAACUGCGAACGGCUCAUUAUAUCAGCAAUAAUUUAUUUGAUGGUACCUUACUACAUGGAUAACUGUGGUAAUUCUAGAGCUAAUACAUGCGUAUAGUCCCAACUCUC